AGAGAGGAGAAAACUAGAAAAGCACAAUGAAGAAGGUAGCGGCUGUUCAUUUGUAAGGACUUUGAAAACAAGCAAACAGACAACAAGCAAAACCAGAUUUACCUUUCCAUAAAUCCAAGGUGGUUGUGAUUUAACUUCAGCCGGAAACUCAGCCCCAUAGAGCUGCUCACUCAGUCCUCUACCAGCACCAUGGGGUGGAGAAUCAGGAGGGGAGCCAAAGGAAGGAGAGGGAGGUGCAAUGGCAGAUGGCAACCCACAAGGAGGCGAGAACUGCAUACUGCACUUUGGCACUCCGUGACAAGGACAACUUUACAGUAACC
Hirundo rustica (Barn swallow) is the source of this 320-nucleotide long non-coding RNA. RefSeq lists it as uncharacterized. The transcript has 3 exons. The record is from RefSeq and is a predicted model, not a curated record. NCBI's taxonomy places the organism in Eukaryota, Metazoa, Chordata, Aves, Passeriformes, Hirundinidae.